Molecule: transfer RNA, 73 nt
Filed under: Cotesia glomerata
Lineage: Eukaryota; Metazoa; Arthropoda; Insecta; Hymenoptera; Braconidae
Description: tRNA-Thr
Source: RNAcentral
GUCUCAGAUAGCUCAACUGGAAGCGCCUUUGAUGCGUAACCAAAAGAUCCGGGUUCGAUUCCCGGCCGGGGCU